This 495-nucleotide ribosomal RNA is filed under the name uncultured bacterium. RNAcentral describes it as "partial 16S ribosomal RNA". It matches the Rfam family "Bacterial small subunit ribosomal RNA", at positions 28 to 505 of the family's 1533-position model. The record is from RNAcentral.
GAUGAACGCUGGCGGCGUGCCUAAUACAUGCAAGUCGAGCGAACGGACGAGAAGCUUGCUUCUCUGAUGUUAGCGGCGGACGGGUGAGUAACACGUGGAUAACCUACCUAUAAGACUGGGAUAACUUCGGGAAACCGGAGCUAAUACCGGAUAAUAUUUUGAACCGCAUGGUUCAAAAGUGAAAGACGGUCUUGCUGUCCCUUAUAGAUGGAUCCGCGCUGCAUUAGCUAGUUGGAAAGGUAACGGCUUACAAAGGCAACGAUGCAUAGCCGACCUGAGAGUGAGACCGGGCAUCCUGAAACUGAGACACAUUCCAAUCCCCCACGGGCGCAAGAAGCUGGGAUUCCUCAGACAGGGCGGAAGGCCUGAAGACGCACCUCCGCGUGAGUGAGGAAGGUAUUCGGAUUGUAAAACUCUGUAAUAAUGUAUGAACAUAUGUGAAAGUAGAUGUGAUCAUCUGGACGGUAUCUAAUAAGAAACCCACGGCUAUCUCCG